Molecule: ribosomal RNA, 363 nt
Filed under: Triticum aestivum (bread wheat)
Lineage: Eukaryota; Viridiplantae; Streptophyta; Magnoliopsida; Poales; Poaceae
Description: partial small subunit ribosomal RNA
Source: RNAcentral
AUGGAGGAGAAGGGGAGGGGUGCUGCGUCGUGGAUCCAAGUACACUUUUUUAUCGGAGGGAGUAUAACAUAUUACCUUUGUGCUCUUCGAAUUUUAGUAUACACUUGCGAAACAAACAUGUCAUUAAUAUCAGUGCCUAAGAAUCAUUUGUUUUGGAUUCUAAUUUGUUCAGCAGAGGGCGAUCAAUAUAGAAGAGAUAUAUACACAAAUUUCCCUAGGUGCAGCAUCUUCUACUGUCCAAGCCUCCAAGGUAAUUCUCAAGAAUUUGUGUGCUUGCUUGUCCAAAAUGCAUAUGGUCCAACUUGGUUCGUUUUGAUGGGUUCUGAAUUUACUCCAAUUUGGUCACUUUUCAAAUUCAGUUAG